This is a long non-coding RNA of Salvia miltiorrhiza (redroot sage), 1964 nucleotides long. RefSeq lists it as uncharacterized. Lineage: Eukaryota; Viridiplantae; Streptophyta; Magnoliopsida; Lamiales; Lamiaceae. The record is from RefSeq and is a predicted model, not a curated record. The transcript is spliced from 2 exons.
AAUUCCUCCUACUUUCAUUCUUAUUCUCCAUUCCUACUUUGACGUUACUUUGACGAAGCUUCUAACUAUAAUCUGUAUUCUUUUCUGCAGAACAAUAGAAUAAUCUCAUAAUAAUUUCAUAAAACAAAGGAUCGCCUUUUACUCAACCAUCGACUGGUAAACCCAAAUCUUUCAUGGUUAUAUCAAACACAGCAUAAGCACCUAUUUCACAGACAGUAAAUUGGCAUACAUAUAUACACAGAUAAUCAUCCUUCAUACCAGAGACUUAUACAGACUUUUAUUAACCGAUCGUUUAAACAAGAAAAUAGAAGAAACAAACAGAAUGAUACAUAUACAUAUACAGAACAAUCUGCAUAAUUGCUUUAUUUUAUAUUUUUGAAUGAAAGAGCCAACUUUCCAUUGAUUUGAGUGUUGGUGUAGCGUGAGUUCAGUUGGGGCAACGAUUUUUGACGGCCACAGGCUGUCCGGCAAGGGGGGAGAGAAGAAGGCGGCGACGCCGCCGCUGUAGACGACUGUGGUCGGCGGCGGUGGUUUCCCUGCUGCUGGCACGCUGUCUGUGAGAGGAGGAGCUACGGCACGGCGGCUCUCCCCGCUGCUGUCGGGCCGAGGAUAGAGAGAGAGAGGGUGAGAAGGGCGGCGGUGGUUAGUUUCCGCUGCUGCGGCGGCCGGAAAUAAGCCAAGAGAGAGAGAGACUCGAGGGAGAUGGCAAGGCACGGCGGCAGCCGCCUCAUCUGCUGCCGUUGUCAGCCAGUUUGAGUGAAGGAGGGGGGAAGUCCAGGCGGACGCCGGAGUUCCAGGAGAGAGGAGCGGCUGCCUCGCCGGAAGGAGGAGCGGCUGCCUCGCCGGUUUGAUGAGUGAGGAUGAGGGAGAAGGGGGUGGUGGCGUGAACCGCGAGAGAGAGAGAGGGACGGAACUUUGGGAGAGAGAGAUUGAGAUAUGUGAUAGUGUGUGUGUGCGGCUGAUAAGGAGAAGAGAGAGUGGAGGUGUUGGGCUAGGGUGAGGGUUGGGCUUGGUUGGGGAGUGGGCUUGGCUGUUGGGCCGGGGUUUAAUUAGUGUUGGGCUGGAUUUUUAAUUAGUUUUGGGCCGAGUCAGUGGGCUUGAGUGUGGGCUAGGGCUUAGAUGGAGUGAUGGGUCGAUUUUUAAUGGGCUGGGUUCUUGAUUUAAUUUUCAAUGGGCUUGCGACUUGGGCCGAUUUUAAUUGAGAGUUGGGGCCUUUGUUUUAAAUUUUCACUUGGGCCGAUUUUUAUUUUUUAACAGAUGGGCCAAUGUUUAUUAAUUCCUUGGGCCCUAAAUUUAUAUCAAUUGAGUCAGUUUUAUUUUUAACUUUGGGCUGCCUUGAUUAAUUAAAUUAAUUGAGCUGCCCUAUUUUAAUUAAUUGAACUAUUAAUUAGUUUAAUUAAUUCAAAUACUAGUUUUCAUAAUAAUAUUUUAUUUUUAUUAGUAAGUGCAUAUUUUAAGUAAUUUCUUAUUAUAUGCCAAGCAUGAUAUGAAUUUGCAUUAUAUUUUUGCAAUAAAAGUAUUUAAGAUUUAAUUGGUUUUAUUUAUAAUUCCAAUUAUUAAAUAAAGAUGAGUAAGAAUAUUGUUGGUGUACUUAACUCAAGAGAAAUGUUUUCAAUUAUUUAUUCAUUAAAUUUUGAAAAACCGGCUAAGUGAAUCAUAGAAUAUUAAGCAUUACACCAUGACUUAAGAUUAGAAUUUAAGGAGACCUAUUGAGAAUAGAUUUCUUGUAGGCUUUGAGCAUCAGGAGGAUUAGCACUGCUAUUCCGAUUCAGAGAUAAGGUUAAACGACAGGCUUUGCCUAGACAGGUUGAUUGGUCGGUGCUGACGGAGCAGAGCUGAGGCUAGGGUUCAACUCCGUAUUUUGUCUUCCGCUGUUGCACUAGCUUUUAUUUGUCUUUUGUUUCUCCAACUUAAGACUUUUAUGUUAAAUUCUGAAUUAUGUUUUAUCGAGAUUAAACUCUCAA